RNAcentral lists this ribosomal RNA (611 nucleotides) under uncultured bacterium. Its description in RNAcentral is "bacterial SSU rRNA". It matches the Rfam family "Bacterial small subunit ribosomal RNA", at positions 338 to 951 of the family's 1533-position model. The record is from RNAcentral.
CCUACGGGAGGCAGCAGUAAGGAAUAUUGGUCAAUGGGCGCAAGCCUGAACCAGCCAUGCCGCGUGCAGGAAGACGGCCCUAUGGGUUGUAAACUGCUUUUGAACAAGAGAAAACCUCGGUACGUGUACCGAGCUGAUAGUAUUGUUAGAAUAAGCAUCGGCUAACUUCGUGCCAGCAGCCGCGGUAAGACGAAGGAUGCAAGCGUUAUCCGGAUUCAUUGGGUUUAAAGGUGCGUAGGCGGCCUGAUAAGCCAGUGGUGAAAUCUCUCAGCUUAACUGAGAAACUGCCAUUGAUACUGUCGGGCUUGAGUACAGAUGAUGUGGGCGGAAUAUGACAUGUAGUGGUGAAAUACUUAGAUAUGUCAUAGAACACCGAUUGCGAAGGCAGCUCACAAAACUGUAACUGACGCUGAGGCACGAAAGUGCGGGGAUCAAACAGGAUUAGAUACCCUGGUAGUCCGCACCGUAAACGAUGAUUACUCGUUGUUGGCAUAUGACCGUCAGCGACCAAGCGAAAGCGAUAAGAAUCCACCCUGGGGAGUACGCCGGCAACGGUUGAAACUCAAAGGAAUUGACCGGNGNGAGAGNGCGAGACGACACGAGGGAGGAGG